RNAcentral lists this transfer RNA (64 nucleotides) under Saphonecrus sp. ZJUH 20220015. RNAcentral describes it as "tRNA-Thr". The record is from RNAcentral. Lineage: Eukaryota; Metazoa; Arthropoda; Insecta; Hymenoptera; Cynipidae. RNAcentral also lists the same sequence under 1 other name.
AGUUAUAUAGUUUAAAAAAAACAUUAAUUUUGUAAAUUAAAUUUAAAAUAAAAUUUUAUAACUU